AAGUCGUAACAAGGUUUCCGUAGGUGAACCUGCGGAAGGAUCAUUAAUGAGAAAGGGCUUCAUCGCCCGGGGGCUCCGGCCCUUCCUCUCAACCCAUGUUUACCUAUCCAUCUCUGUUGCUUCGGCGGACCUUGGGGUCGUGCUCAUGCCGGCGGGGCGCCUAUUGCCCCGCUGGCGAGUGUCCGUCAGAGGCCCAUUUUUUCAACCUUGAAUUUCAGUACCGUCUGAGCAAAAACAAAAAAUCAAGCAAAACUUUCAACAACGGAUCUCUUGGUUCUGGCAUCGAUGAAGAACGCAGCGAAAUGCGAUAAGUAAUGUGAAUUGCAGAAUUCAGUGAAUCAUCGAAUCUUUGAACGCACAUUGCGCCCCUCGGAAUUCCGGGGGGCAUGCCUGUCCGAGCGUCAUUGCACCCCUCAAGCGUAGCUUGGUCAUGGGUCCAGUCCCGCGAGGGACUCACCCGAAAAACAGCGGCGGUCCGGGGGACCUUCAAGCGCAGUCGAUUUUUCAUCGCUCUGGAGCGCGUCCCCGCGGCUGGCCGGAAAAGCCCCCCAUUCUUCAAUGAUUGACCUCGGAUCAGGUAGGGAUACCCGCUGAACUUAA
RNAcentral lists this ribosomal RNA (600 nucleotides) under uncultured fungus. RNAcentral describes it as "eukaryotic LSU rRNA". The stretch from base 251 to 404 matches the Rfam family "5.8S ribosomal RNA". The record is from RNAcentral. Lineage: Eukaryota; Fungi.